UACGGGGGGGGUAAGCGUUGUUCGGAAUUACUGGGCGUAAAGGGCUCGUAGGCGGCCAACUAAGUCAGACGUGAAAUCCCUCGGCUUAACCGGGGAACUGCGUCUGAUACUGGUUGGCUUGAGGUUGGGAGAGGGAUGCGGAAUUCCAGGUGUAGCGGUGAAAUGCGUAGAUAUCUGGAGGAACACCGGUGGCGAAGGCGGCAUCCUGGACCAAUUCUGACGCUGAGGAGCGAAAGCCAGGGGAGCAAACGGG
RNAcentral lists this ribosomal RNA (253 nucleotides) under uncultured bacterium. RNAcentral's name for it is "partial 16S ribosomal RNA". It matches the Rfam family "Bacterial small subunit ribosomal RNA", at positions 524 to 776 of the family's 1533-position model. The record is from RNAcentral.